RNAcentral lists this long non-coding RNA (743 nucleotides) under Pan troglodytes (chimpanzee). RNAcentral's name for it is "long non-coding RNA NONPTRT004143". The record is from RNAcentral. Lineage: Eukaryota; Metazoa; Chordata; Mammalia; Primates; Hominidae.
GUAGAGAUGGGGUUUCUCCAUGUUGGUCAGGCUGGUCUCGAACUCCUAACCUCAGGUGAUCCACCCGACUCAGCCUCCCAAAGUGCUAGGAUUACAGGUAUGAGCCACCAUGCCCAGUGAUAGUUUUACCUUAAAAAUUAUUCUGUGUUCCCUCACACAAUAAGGACCUCAUUGAUUAUUUCACUUGACAAAGUCACUUUCCAUGUGGAAAACACUUCUUGAAGCCCUUGGGAUCUCAGCUGGGGACGCGGAGACUUUGCCCUCCAGGAGGGCAUCUAAUGUUUGUGAUGAUUGCCUCAUCUCUCGUUUGCACUGAGCUUGUGUUGCUAAUUAUUAGCUAUGGUGGAUGCAGAGAGAAAGACGGAAUUGGAUAUGGAAUGGCAGAAGCUAUGACAAACUGCAAGAGUGCCUGGCUGUCACUGUUUAAAAAAUUAUAAUGUUUCUCAAAGAAAUUCCAAAGAACAUAGAAAGGAGACCACAGGAAGAAUCCAGAACUGCUGCCCAUCAUAAAAUUUUUCCAUCUGCAAUUUGUGUCUACAGUGUGCCAGUUAUUGAUGAGGGCUGAAUCCUAUUCCACCGUGUGGAUGGGCCCCAGCUUCUUACCCACCACCCAUCAGCGGACACUCAGGUUGCUCCCACCGUUGGGCCAUCGUGAACAGCACUGCAAUGAACGCGGUGGCCAGAUUCCUCUUCAAGUUCCCAGUUUCAUUUCUUUGAUACCCAGAAAUGAGAUUGAUGCAUCA